GCCGCCUUAGCUCAGUUGGUUUAGAGCACUUGACUUGUAAUCAUGAGGUCGUCAGUUCGAAUCUGACAGGCGGCU
Molecule: transfer RNA, 75 nt
Filed under: Spirochaetales bacterium
Lineage: Bacteria; Pseudomonadati; Spirochaetota; Spirochaetia; Spirochaetales
Description: tRNA-Thr
Rfam family: tRNA
About the family: Transfer RNA (tRNA) molecules are approximately 80 nucleotides in length. Their secondary structure includes four short double-helical elements and three loops (D, anti-codon, and T loops). Further hydrogen bonds mediate the characteristic L-shaped molecular structure. tRNAs have two regions of fundamental functional importance: the anti-codon, which is responsible for specific mRNA codon recognition, and the 3' end, to which the tRNAs corresponding amino acid is attached (by aminoacyl-tRNA synthetases). tRNAs cope with the degeneracy of the genetic code in two manners: having more than one tRNA (with a specific anti-codon) for a particular amino acid; and 'wobble' base-pairing, i.e. permitting non-standard base-pairing at the 3rd anti-codon position.
Source: RNAcentral